RNAcentral lists this long non-coding RNA (250 nucleotides) under Sitophilus oryzae (rice weevil). Its description in RNAcentral is "uncharacterized LOC115875896". The record is from RNAcentral. Lineage: Eukaryota; Metazoa; Arthropoda; Insecta; Coleoptera; Curculionidae.
UUUUUGAGCCUUUUCAUUGGAACUAUGGAGGGCUUAAAAAAGGAGAUUUAUCGGCAAUGGGCAAAUUUGAAAUUUCUGUCCCCACUUUUAAGCAGCUUCCUCGGUUUGACAGCAGAGGCACUGCGAUCGACUGGGAUACUACAUUUUCAUUCAGUACAACAAUGAGUCGUGGUAGAAAUUGCUUUGUACCUGGCUGUACAAGUGGGAAUCCCAAUAAAAACAAGGCAAAUAAAGAACGGGGUGAAAGAAA